RNAcentral lists this ribosomal RNA (284 nucleotides) under Mediterraneibacter gnavus ATCC 29149. RNAcentral describes it as "[Ruminococcus] gnavus ATCC 29149 partial 16S ribosomal RNA". It matches the Rfam family "Bacterial small subunit ribosomal RNA", at positions 493 to 776 of the family's 1533-position model. The record is from RNAcentral. Lineage: Bacteria; Bacillati; Bacillota; Clostridia; Lachnospirales; Lachnospiraceae.
UCUUUUCCUUUUUUUCCAGCAGCCGCGGUAAUACGUAGGGGGCAAGCGUUAUCCGGAUUUACUGGGUGUAAAGGGAGCGUAGACGGCAUGGCAAGCCAGAUGUGAAAGCCCGGGGCUCAACCCCGGGACUGCAUUUGGAACUGUCAGGCUAGAGUGUCGGAGAGGAAAGCGGAAUUCCUAGUGUAGCGGUGAAAUGCGUAGAUAUUAGGAGGAACACCAGUGGCGAAGGCGGCUUUCUGGACGAUGACUGACGUUGAGGCUCGAAAGCGUGGGGAGCAAACAGG